This 374-nucleotide ribosomal RNA is filed under the name uncultured bacterium. RNAcentral describes it as "bacterial SSU rRNA". It matches the Rfam family "Bacterial small subunit ribosomal RNA", at positions 524 to 898 of the family's 1533-position model. The record is from RNAcentral.
UACGAAGGGUGCUAGCGUUGUUCGGAAUGACUGGGCGUAAAGGGCGCGUAGGCGGCCAGAUGCGUCUGAUGUGAAAUCCCUGGGCUUAACCUAGGCACUGCAUUGGAUACGGUCUGGCUAGAGUCCGCAAGAGGAAGAUGGAAUUGUGCGUGUAGAGGUGAAAUUCGUAGAUAUGCACAAGAACACCGGUGGCGAAGGCGAUCUUCUGGAGCGGUACUGACGCUAAGGCGCGAAAGCGUGGGGAGCAAACAGGAUUAGAUACCCUGGUAGUCCACGCUGUAAACGUUGAAUGUUAGAUGUCGGGGAGUUUCCUCUUCGGUAUCGCAGCUAACGCAUUAAACAUUCCGCCUGGGGAGUACGGUCGCAAGAUUAAA